GACGAACGCUGGCUGCGUGCUUAACACAUGCAAGUCGAACGCUGAAGCUCACAGCUUGCUGUGGGUGGAUGAGUGGCGAACGGGUGAGUAACACGUGAGUAACCUGCCCCCGAUUUCGGGAUAAGCCCGGGAAACUGGGUCUAAUACCGGAUAUGACCACCGGCCGCAUGGUUGGUGGUGGAAAGUUUUUCGAUCGGGGAUGGGCUCGCGGCCUAUCAGCUUGUUGGUGGGGUAAUGGCCUACCAAGGCGACGACGGGUAGCCGGCCUGAGAGGGGGACCGGCCACCCUGGGGCUGAGACACGGCCCAGACUCCUACGGGGGGCAGCAGUGGGGAAUAUUGCACAAUGGGGGAAACCCUGAUGCAGCGACGCAGCGUGCGGGAUGACGGCCUUCGGGUUGUAAACCGCUUUCAGCAGGGAAGAAGCGUAAGUGACGGUACCUGCAGAAGAAGUACCGGCUAACCACGUGCCAGCCGCCGCAGUAA
Molecule: ribosomal RNA, 485 nt
Filed under: uncultured bacterium
Lineage: Bacteria
Description: partial 16S ribosomal RNA
Rfam family: Bacterial small subunit ribosomal RNA
Source: RNAcentral